UGGGGAAUUUUGGACAAUGGGCGCAAGCCUGAUCCAGCAAUGCCGCGUGCAGGAUGAAGGCCUUCGGGUUGUAAACUGCUUUUGUACGGAACGAAAAAGCUCUCUCUAAUACAGGGGGUGAAUGACGGUACCGUAAGAAUAAGCACCGGCUAACUACGUGCCAGCAGCCGCGGUAAUACGUAGGGUGCAAGCGUUAAUCGGAAUUACUGGGCGUAAAGCGUGCGCAGGCGGUUUUGUAAGACAGAGGUGAAAUCCCCGGGCUCAACCGGGGAACUGCCUUUGUGACUGCAAAGCUGGAGUGCGGCAGAGGGGGAUGGAAUUCCGCGUGUAGCAGUGAAAUGCGUAGAUAUGCGGAGGAACACCGAUGGCGAAGGCAAUCCCCUGGGCCUGCACUGACGCUCAUGCACGAAAGCGUGGGGAGCAAACA
RNAcentral lists this ribosomal RNA (427 nucleotides) under uncultured bacterium. RNAcentral describes it as "bacterial SSU rRNA". It matches the Rfam family "Bacterial small subunit ribosomal RNA", at positions 355 to 774 of the family's 1533-position model. The record is from RNAcentral.